RNAcentral lists this ribosomal RNA (441 nucleotides) under uncultured bacterium. RNAcentral describes it as "partial 16S ribosomal RNA". It matches the Rfam family "Bacterial small subunit ribosomal RNA", at positions 338 to 795 of the family's 1533-position model. The record is from RNAcentral.
CCUACGGGAGGCAGCAGUGGGGAAUAUUGCACAAUGGGGGGAACCCUGAUGCAGCGACGCCGCGUGGGCGAAGGAGUAUUUCGGUAUGUAAAGCCCUAUCAGCAGGGAAGAACAAUGACGGUACCUGACCAAGAUGCACCGGCGAAAUACGUGUCAGCAGCCGCGGUAAUACGUAUGGUGCAAGCGUUAUCCGGAUUUACUGGGUGUAAAGGGAGCGCAGGCGGCGCGUUAAGCCUGGGGUGAAAGCCCGCGGCCCAACCGCGGGACUGCAUUGGGAACUGGCGUGCUGGAGUGCCGGAGGGGUGGACGGAAUUCCUAGUGUAGCGGUGGAAUGCGUAGAUAUUAGGAGGAACACCAGUGGCGAAGGCGGCCUACUGGACGGUGACUGACGCUGAGGCUCGAAAGCGUGGGGAGCAAACAGGAUUAGAUACCCUGGUAGUC